AUUGAACGCUGGCGGCAGGCUUAACACAUGCAAGUCGAGCGGGGGAAGGUAGCUUGCUACCGGACCUAGCGGCGGACGGGUGAGUAAUGCUUAGGAAUCUGCCUAUUAGUGGGGGACAACAUCUCGAAAGGGAUGCUAAUACCGCAUACGUCCUAUGGGAGAAAGCAGGGGAUCUUCGGACCUUGCGCUAAUAGAUGAGCCUAAGUCGGAUUAGCUAGUUGGUGGGGUUAAGGCCUACCAAGGCGACGAUCUGUAGCGGGUCUGAGAGGAUGAUCCGCCACACUGGGACUGAGACACGGCCCAGACUCCUACGGGAGGCAGCAGUGGGCAAUAUUGGACAAUGGGGGGAACCCUGAUCCAGCCAUGCCGCGUGUGUGAAGAAGGCCUUAUGGUUGUAAAGCACUUUAAGCGAGGAGGAGGCUACUUUAGUUAAUACCUAGAGAUAGUGGACGUUACUCGCAGAAUAAGCACCGGCUAACUCUGUGCCAGCCGCCGCGGUAA
RNAcentral lists this ribosomal RNA (501 nucleotides) under uncultured bacterium. RNAcentral's name for it is "partial 16S ribosomal RNA". It matches the Rfam family "Bacterial small subunit ribosomal RNA", at positions 30 to 523 of the family's 1533-position model. The record is from RNAcentral.